GAAAUGCGAUAAGUAAUGUGAAUUGCAGAAUUCAGUGAAUCAUCGAAUCUUUGAACGCACAUUGCGGCCGCCAGUAUUCUGGCGGGCAUGCCUGUUCGAGCGUCAUUACAACCCUCAGGCCCCCGGGCCUGGCGUUGGGGAUCGGCGGAAGCCCCCUGCGGGCACAACGCCGUCCCCCAAAUACAGUGGCGGUCCCGCCGCAGCUUCCAUUGCGUAGUAGCUAACACCUCGCAACUGGAGAGCGGCGCGGCCACGCCGUAAAACACCCAACUUCUGAAUGUUGACCUCGAAUCAGGUAGGAAUACCCGCUGAACUUAAGC
RNAcentral lists this unclassified non-coding RNA (320 nucleotides) under plant metagenome. Its description in RNAcentral is "partial contains 5.8S ribosomal RNA, internal transcribed spacer 2, and large subunit ribosomal RNA". The stretch from base 1 to 105 matches the Rfam family "5.8S ribosomal RNA", at positions 50 to 154 of the family's 154-position model. The record is from RNAcentral.